This 2109-nucleotide long non-coding RNA is filed under the name Diabrotica virgifera virgifera (western corn rootworm). RNAcentral's name for it is "uncharacterized LOC114325924". The record is from RNAcentral. Lineage: Eukaryota; Metazoa; Arthropoda; Insecta; Coleoptera; Chrysomelidae.
UUAGGUGUAGGUUUUGUAGCAGCAUUCGUGUUCGUGCUUGUUACUAAUUUCGUAACCAUGAAUUUUUUUUAUGGGCAUUUUGUAGAGUCGUGGUUAGUUUGUCUCUCUUGCAUUAACCAUUAGUAUCAUUGGUCAAUAGCACAAUGGUUCCGUCGUCGCAGGGUUUGUCCGUGUGAAGAAAUUUAGGGGCUAAAUUUCUUGGAAGCGAGGGGGGGAUUGUUACGUUUAAAAAUCUACCCAGCAAACCUGUGCCGCAAGCCCGCUUCAUUUAGUACAGAUUAAUAAAUAAUGUUGAUAAAAACUACUUGCCUUAAGUAUUUCAUAUUUAAACAUGAUCAAUUUUAAGAUUUCCGAUCCAGACUGCAUUCUUCCUUUUUCCUCUUUUCAAUAUAAGAAAGAUAAAUAUCCUUGCUUGCAAUAAAUUUGUUAAAAUAAACCUUCAAUAAUUUCAAAUUUCAAUUUCAAUUGUUGGUUUUAACCAGGAAAUUAUUAUUCACUUUUUAUCACCUUUUAAUGUAAAAUAGUUUAUGCUUUCAUUAUAUUAUUUACUAAUCAUUUGAGGUUAGAAUCUGCUUCUUUUACUUUUGAAGUCGUUUCAAAUUCUGUCACGACUAGUGUCAAACCGAGGCAGUUUUGUUCUAUGGUUCACGGGACUACCUAUGUUUUUGAAUUUCUGUGUUCGGAAGGAAGUUGGCGUUUCUCAUAGCUGACUGGCGAGCGUCCUUUUUGAAUUUGAUGGGGACGCGUCUUUGGAUCGUGUAAUUUAGGUAAAAUUUGUAUGCUAAUUAUUUUGAGGCAUCUGGCUUUCCUGGAUAAAUUUACCUAUUACACAUAGUGGGGCUAGAUAAUAGAUGUAGUGUGUAUUGGAUAUUUUAGUAUUUAGCCCAAGCCGAAAAGGGAUUAUUUGUUCAAAGACGUGGUCACUUCGCACGCUAGGCAGCGCUGUGUAUGAGGUCUAUAUAGGGAGUAUUAUUUGGAUUAGAGAAGCUCCAUAGGAGAGCAUAGCGUGGUUGACCGUAGUAAAAACCCCGAUAGGCUUAAGCGGUAAGUAAUUCAUGCAAUGAUUAGAUUCUUUAUGUAUUGAGGGACAGACAACCAGUGUCUUAAUUUUAUUUAGUGUUUAUUGAAGCCCGUUGGCUAGGGGUUUAUUCUUGAUUUGUUGCUAAGCCUCCUACAAUGUAGAUGACAUUGCAAGCUAACUUCUAGGCUAUGUUAUAAGUGGUAAAAGCCUGUUUAAAUAAAAUCAGUAACAAACUUAUUGAAAUAUUUAUAUUAUACCAGGGGGUUACGAGAAGAACCUAGUUGAAAUAUAUUUAUUGAUAUGGAACAGAUUUAGUGAUUCAUAGCACCGUACGAGAUGACAAUAUUACUUCGAUGGAUGCAACUGUCAAUUGGGAAUUGAGUAGGCAAUGGGUUUAGAAACCGAGAAUAAACGUUUAAAUAAAUUCAUUGUAAUAAGUGUCUAAUGAGUUUUGUUUUUAUUUUAGGGGUUUUUAUUUUUUUUUGGAGUUUUGGAGUUCGUUUUACUUGGAGUUUUCGUUUUUGGAUUUUUGUAUAUGGUUUCUGGUUUUACUUUUUGUGGAUGUUUUUGGUUACAUUUGGAUGCUAAGAGUCGUCAUUGGAUACAAGUAUAUGUGGUGAAGAAGAUUUCUACUAACGAAUUGUAGUUUGUUACCAGACUAUGGAGGAUAUCAGGUUUUUAUAACAAUGUUAAACAUUUAAAUUCAUUUGUCUUAUUUAUUUUAUAUUAUUUAAUGAUAGUAAAUAUUUUAGGUUUUUUUUUGUUAACAAAUUAACGUGUUCUUUUUUUUUAUUAUUAUUAUUAAAAUUUAUUGGGGAUAGUCAUACAUUCAACUUUAUAUACAUAUAACUUAUUAUAGAGGUCAUUAUAGUACAUUACUUUUUAGAUUUGUAUUAGUGGCACUCAUGAGCUCAUGCAGCAACUAUAGGGUAGGCACUAGUAUCGCCAAUGUUUAAAAUAUUUCUAAUCUGUAAAUUUAAAUUAUUUUGAUAUUCAUUUCCUUAGCCACUUUAUGCUACCAAUGACUGGACUUGUUUAUUUUCAUAUUUAUUUGUGUUGCAACUGUUUAAUAAAUAAAUGUAAGUAAA